UUUUAUUUAUAUAUAUUUUUCUAUUUAACUUGUGUUUCUCUCUCAAUAUGUAUAUAUAUGUCACCUGGAAUGCAACAAAGACACCACACAGUAAAACAGAGAGCCUUUGAAGUCUUUAGUGCGGGUAAUUUAAUCAGGAAAGACAGAGGGGUUCAUAAAUAAAGACCUUUGACCUCACGGGUGUGAAGGCACACAAACACACAGUAAAAAACAAAUGAUCAGAAAGAGCCUUUGAACUCUUUAGUGCAGGAAAGACAGAGGGGUUAGUACCUUUGACCUCACGGGUGUGAAGGCACACAAACACACAGUAAAAAACAAAUGAUCAGAAAGAGCCUUUGAACUCUUUAGUGCAGGAAAGACAGAGGGGUUGUUGACCUCACAGAUGUGAAGAUAAUAAAAGCCCAGGGGGUUAGAAGGACCAUUGUUUUUUCUGAAAACAGCUAGGUUUGGUUUACGGGGUUAAGUGGAAAAUUACAGAGAAGGAACCUUGUAAGAAGUGGGGGGUGAUAACAGUAUAAUAAGGCUGUCUGUUUUCAGUGCGAUUUUAGGUCUGUUGUGUUUCAGGGUAGCUGCUGAAACAUUGUGAACAUACCUCUUUAAGGAAAAUAAACUUCUUUCCUUAAAUAUAA
This is a long non-coding RNA of Sinocyclocheilus anshuiensis, 629 nucleotides long. RefSeq lists it as uncharacterized. The record is from RefSeq and is a predicted model, not a curated record. The transcript has 3 exons. NCBI's taxonomy places the organism in Eukaryota, Metazoa, Chordata, Actinopteri, Cypriniformes, Cyprinidae.